GCGGAGAUGGCGGAACUGGCAGACGCGUACGUUUGAGGGGCGUAUGGGAUCUCCCGUGCGGGUUCGAUUCCCGCUCUCCGCACCA
Molecule: transfer RNA, 85 nt
Filed under: Thermoanaerobacterales bacterium
Lineage: Bacteria; Bacillati; Bacillota; Clostridia; Thermoanaerobacterales
Description: tRNA-Leu
Rfam family: tRNA
About the family: Transfer RNA (tRNA) molecules are approximately 80 nucleotides in length. Their secondary structure includes four short double-helical elements and three loops (D, anti-codon, and T loops).
Source: RNAcentral